This 387-nucleotide unclassified non-coding RNA is filed under the name soil metagenome. RNAcentral's name for it is "partial contains 5.8S ribosomal RNA, internal transcribed spacer 2, and large subunit ribosomal RNA". The stretch from base 1 to 120 matches the Rfam family "5.8S ribosomal RNA", at positions 35 to 154 of the family's 154-position model. The record is from RNAcentral.
GAUGAAGAACGUAGCGAAAUGCGAUAAGUAAUGUGAAUUGCAGAAUUCAGUGAAUCAUCGAAUCUUUGAACGCACCUUGCACCCUUUGGCAUUCCGAAGGGUAUGCUCGUUUGAGUGUCAUUGUACUCUCACACUCUCCGAUCCUAUGGAUUCGGGGAGCGGUGGACUUGGGUGUUGCUGCCUUUCCUUGUGGCUCACCUCAAAUGUGUCAGUGCACCUCUUGGUUGGACAUAGUACGGCGUGAUAAGUGUCUUCGCCGGCACCUCGCAAGAGGGUGGCCGAUCGGGAGCUCUGUGCUUUCAAACCGUCUUCGGACAAUUUCUGACAACUUGACCUCAAAUCGAGUAGGACUACCCGCUGAACUUAAGCAUAUCAAUAAGCGGAGGA